UGGGGAAUUUUGGACAAUGGGCGAAAGCCUGAUCCAGCAAUGCCGCGUGUGUGAAGAAGGCCUUCGGGUUGUAAAGCACUUUUGUCCGGAAAGAAAUCCUUGGCUCUAAUACAGUCGGGGGAUGACGGUACCGGAAGAAUAAGCACCGGCUAACUACGUGCCAGCAGCCGCGGUAAUACGUAGGGUGCAAGCGUUAAUCGGAAUUACUGGGCGUAAAGCGUGCGCAGGCGGUUUGCUAAGACCGAUGUGAAAUCCCCGGGCUCAACCUGGGAACUGCAUUGGUGACUGGCAGGCUAGAGUAUGGCAGAGGGGGGUAGAAUUCCACGUGUAGCAGUGAAAUGCGUAGAGAUGUGGAGGAAUACCGAUGGCGAAGGCAGCCCCCUGGGCCAAUACUGACGCUCAUGCACGAAAGCGCGGGGAGCAAACAGGAUUAGAUACCCUGGUAGUCCACGCCCUAAAACGAUGUCAACUAGUUGUUGGGGAUUCAUUUCCUUAGUAACGUAGCUAACGCGUGAAGUUGACCGCCUGGGGAGUACGGUCGCAAGAUUAAAACUCAAAGGAAUUGACGGGGUCAUAGCUG
RNAcentral lists this ribosomal RNA (580 nucleotides) under uncultured bacterium. RNAcentral describes it as "partial 16S ribosomal RNA". It matches the Rfam family "Bacterial small subunit ribosomal RNA", at positions 355 to 932 of the family's 1533-position model. The record is from RNAcentral.